CUAUUUUGGAUGUAUAGAAA
This 20-nucleotide non-coding RNA is filed under the name Arabidopsis thaliana (thale cress). The record is from RNAcentral. Lineage: Eukaryota; Viridiplantae; Streptophyta; Magnoliopsida; Brassicales; Brassicaceae.